Molecule: ribosomal RNA, 253 nt
Filed under: uncultured bacterium
Lineage: Bacteria
Description: partial 16S ribosomal RNA
Rfam family: Bacterial small subunit ribosomal RNA
Source: RNAcentral
UACGAAGGGGGCUAGCGUUGCUCGGAAUCACUGGGCGUAAAGGGUGCGUAGGCGGGUCUUUAAGUCAGGGGUGAAAUCCUGGAGCUCAACUCCAGAACUGCCUUUGAUACUGAGGAUCUUGAGUACGGGAGAGGUGAGUGGAACUGCGAGUGUAGAGGUGAAAUUCGUAGAUAUUCGCAAGAACACCAGUGGCGAAGGCGGCUCACUGGCCCGUUACUGACGCUGAGGCACGAAAGCGUGGGUAGCAAACAGG